UGGUCAAGUUAUUAAGGGUGCAGGGCGGAUGCCUUGGCACUAGGAGCCGAUGAAGGACGUGAUAAGCUGCGAUAAGCUUCGGGGAGUUGCACGUAAACUUUGAUCCGAAGAUUUCCGAAUGAGGAAACUCACUUAGAGUAAUGUCUAAGUAUCAUUAAGUGAAUACAUAGCUUAAUGAGGGGAACUCAGGGAACUGAAACAUCUAAGUACCUGAAGGAAGAGAAAGAAAUUCGAUUCCGUAAGUAGCGGCGAGCGAACGCGGAUUAGCCCAAACCAAUAAAGUUUUCUUUAUUGGGGUUGCGGACAUAUCAUAACGAAGAGGUAUCGUAAUUGAAGAGGUUUGGAAAGACCCACCACAGAAGGUAAUAGUCCUGUAUGUUAAACGAGAAGACUUCAGAUAUGAUCCAGAGUACCACGGGACACGUGAAACCCUGUGGGAAGCAGGAGGGACCACCCUCCAAGGCUAAAUACUACCUAGUGACCGAUAGCGUAUAGUACCGUGAGGGAAAGGUGAAAAGAACCCCGGGAGGGGAGUGAAAUAGAACCUGAAACCCUGCACUUACAAGCUGUGGAAGCACAUUUCUUGUGUGACCGCGUACUUUUUGUAGAACGGGCCAACGAGUUACGUUAAGUAGCAAGGUUAAGCACUUAAGGUGCGGAGCCGUAGCGAAAGCGAGUUUUAACUGAGCGUUCAGUUACUUGACGUAGACCCGAAACCGGGCGACCUACCCAUGAGCAGGAUGAAGCGAAAGUAAAAUUUCGUGGAGGUCCGAACCCACGAGCGUUGAAAAGCUCGGGGAUGACUUGUGGGUAGCGGUGAAAUUCCAAUCGAGCCCGGAGAUAGCUGGUUCUCCCCGAAAUAGCUUUAGGGCUAGCCUCAAGGUGAGAGAUACGGAGGUAGAGCACUGAAUGUCCUAGGGGGUAUUGCACCUACCGAAGACUAUCAAACUCCGAAUGCCGUCAUCUUAUACUUGGGAGUCAGACUGUGGGUGAUAAGAUUCAUAGUCGAAAGGGCAACAGCCCAGAUCGUCAGCUAAGGUCCCUAAAUGUAAGUUAAGUGGUAAAGGAUGUGGGAUUGCACAGACAACCAGGAUGUUGGCUUAGAAGCAGCCACUCAUUCAAAGAGUGCGUAAUAGCUCACUGGUCGAGUGAUCCUGCGCCGAAGAUUUCCGGGGCUAAAACUUACUACCGAAGCUACGGCAUCAGUAAUGAUGGGUAGGGGAGCUUCCCAUACGGGUUGAAGCAUGACCGUAAGGACAUGUGGACAGUAUGGGAGUGAGAAUGUUGGCAUGAGUAGCGAGAUGUGGGUGAGAAUCCCACAGGCCGUAAACCCAAGGUUUCCAGGGGAAGGUUCGUCCGCCCUGGGUUAGUCGGGACCUAAGCUGAGGCCGAAAGGCGUAGGUGAUGGACAACAGGUUGAUAUUCCUGUACUACCGAUAACCGUUUGAGAGAAGGGAUGACACAGUAGGAUAAGCUAAGCACACUGUUGGUUAUGUGUGCCCAAGCAUUGAGGCAGUCAAAGUAGGCAAAUCCGCUUUGAUAAUGCUGGGAUGUGAUGGGGAGCGAAAUUUAGUAGCGAAGUAGCUGAUUUCACACUGUCAAGAAAAGUCUCUAUCGAGGUUAAAGGUACCCGUACCGCAAACCGACACAGGUGGGUGAGGAGAGUAUCCUAAGGCCAGCGAGAGAACUGUUGUUAAGGAACUCGGCAAAAUGACCCCGUAACUUAGGGAUAAGGGGUGCCACCAUCAGGUGGCCGCAGAGAAUAGGCCCAAGCGACUGUUUACCAAAAACAUAGGUUUCUGCUAAGUCGCAAGACGAUGUAUAGGAGCUGACGCCUGCCCGGUGCUGGAAGGUUAAGGGGAUCUGUUAGAGCAAUCGAAGCAGUGAACUUAAGCCCCAGUAAACGGCGGCCGUAACUAUAACGGUCCUAAGGUAGCGAAAUUCCUUGUCGGGUAAGUUCCGACCCGCACGAAAGGCGUAACGAUUUGGGCACUGUCUCAACAACAGACUCGGUGAAAUUGUAAUUCCGGUGAAGAUGCCGGAUACCUGCGACAGGACGGAAAGACCCCAUGGAGCUUUACUGUAGCUUGACAUUGGGUCUUGGUACUACAUGUACAGGAUAGGUGGGAGGCUUUGAAACCAGGACGCCAGUUUUGGCGGAGCCAUCCUUGGGAUACCACCCUUGUAGUACUGGGACUCUAACCAUAGGCCAUGAAUCUGGUCUUGGGACACUGUCAGGUGGGCAGUUUGACUGGGGCGGUCGCCUCCCAAAAGGUAACGGAGGCGCUCAAAGGUUCUCUCAGUACGGUCGGAAAUCGUACGUAGAGUGUAAAGGCAAAAGAGAGCUUGAUUGCAAGACAUACAGGUCGAGCAAGGAUGAAAAUCGGACUUAGUGAUCCGGUGGUUCUGCGUGGAAGGGCCAUCGCUCAACGGAUAAAAGCUACCCUGGGGAUAACAGGCUUAUCUCCCCCAAGAGUCCACAUCGACGGGGAGGUUUGGCACCUCGAUGUCGGCUCAUCACAUCCUGGGGCUGUAGUAGGUCCCAAGGGUUGGGCUGUUCGCCCAUUAAAGUGGUACGCGAGCUGGGUUCAGAACGUCGUGAGACAGUUCGGUCCCUAUCCGUCGCAGGCGUAGGAAAUUUGAGAAGACCUGUCCUUAGUACGAGAGGACCGGGAUGGACGUAUCUCUGGUGUACCAGUUGUCCUGCCAAGGGCAUGGCUGGGUAGCUAUGUACGGAAUGGAUAAGCGCUGAAAGCAUCUAAGCGCGAAGCCAACUUCAAGAUAAGAUUUCCCACCGCAAGGGUAAGACCCCAGAAAGACUAUCUGGUUGAUAGGUCGAAGGUGUAAGUGCAGCAAUGUAUUUAGCUUAUCGAUACUAAUAGGUCGAGGACUUGACCAAU
RNAcentral lists this ribosomal RNA (2900 nucleotides) under Clostridioides difficile. RNAcentral describes it as "bacterial LSU rRNA". It matches the Rfam family "Bacterial large subunit ribosomal RNA". The record is from RNAcentral. Lineage: Bacteria; Bacillati; Bacillota; Clostridia; Peptostreptococcales; Peptostreptococcaceae.